Molecule: ribosomal RNA, 967 nt
Filed under: Halomonas ventosae
Lineage: Bacteria; Pseudomonadati; Pseudomonadota; Gammaproteobacteria; Oceanospirillales; Halomonadaceae
Description: bacterial SSU rRNA
Rfam family: Bacterial small subunit ribosomal RNA
Source: RNAcentral
AACGAUGGAGCUUGCUCCAGGCGUCGAGCGGCGGACGGGUGAGUAAUGCAUAGGAAUCUGCCCGGUAGUGGGGGAUAACCUGGGGAAACCCAGGCUAAUACCGCAUACGUCCUACGGGAGAAAGCAGGGGAUCUUCGGACCUUGCGCUAUCGGAUGAGCCUAUGUCGGAUUAGCUUGUUGGUGAGGUAAUGGCUCACCAAGGCGACGAUCCGUAGCUGGUCUGAGAGGAUGAUCAGCCACAUCGGGACUGAGACACGGCCCGAACUCCUACGGGAGGCAGCAGUGGGGAAUAUUGGACAAUGGGCGAAAGCCUGAUCCAGCCAUGCCGCGUGUGUGAAGAAGGCUUUCGGGUUGUAAAGCACUUUCAGUGAGGAAGAAAGCCUUGGGGCUAAUACCCCCAAGGGACGACAUCACUCACAGAAGAAGCACCGGCUAACUCCGUGCCAGCAGCCGCGGUAAUACGGAGGGUGCGAGCGUUAAUCGGAAUUACUGGGCGUAAAGCGCGCGUAGGCGGCGUGAUAAGCCGGUUGUGAAAGCCCCGGGCUCAACCUGGGAACGGCAUCCGGAACUGUCAGGCUAGAGUGCAGGAGAGGAAGGUAGAAUUCCCGGUGUAGCGGUGAAAUGCGUAGAGAUCGGGAGGAAUACCAGUGGCGAAGGCGGCCUUCUGGACUGACACUGACGCUGAGGUGCGAAAGCGUGGGUAGCAAACAGGAUUAGAUACCCUGGUAGUCCACGCCGUAAACGAUGUCGACUAGCCGUUGGGGUCCUUGAGACCUUUGUGGCGCAGUUAACGCGAUAAGUCGACCGCCUGGGGAGUACGGCCGCAAGGUUAAAACUCAAAUGAAUUGACGGGGGCCCGCACAAGCGGUGGAGCAUGUGGUUUAAUUUCGAUGCAACGCGAAGAACCUUACCUACCCUUGACAUCGUGCGAACUUUCCAGAGAUGGAUUGUGCCUUCGGGAGCGCAC